RNAcentral lists this ribosomal RNA (468 nucleotides) under uncultured bacterium. Its description in RNAcentral is "partial 16S ribosomal RNA". It matches the Rfam family "Bacterial small subunit ribosomal RNA", at positions 28 to 507 of the family's 1533-position model. The record is from RNAcentral.
GACGAACGCUGGCGGCGUGCUUAACACAUGCAAGUCGAACGGAAAGACCCUGCUUUUGUUGGGUGCUCGAGUGGCGAACGGGUGAGUGACACGUGAGUAACCUGCCCUUGACUUUGGGAUAACUUCAGGAAACUCGGGCUCAUACCGGAUAGGAGCUCCUGCUGCAUGGUGUGGGUUGGAAAGUUUCGGCGGUUGGGGAUGGACUCGCGGCUUAUCAGCUUGUUGGUGGGGUAGUGGCUUACCAAGGCUUUGACGGAUAGCCGGCCUGAGAGGGUGACCGGCCACAUGGGGACUGAGAGACGGCGCAGACUCCUACGGGAGGCAGCAGUGGGGAAUAUUGCACAAUGGGCGGAAGCCUGAUGCAGCAACGCCGCGUGCGGGAUGACGUCUUUCGGGUGGUAAACCGCUUUCGAAGGUGACGAAGCGUGAGUGACGGUAAUGGGUAAAGAAGCAACGGCUAACUACGUG